This 356-nucleotide small RNA is filed under the name Medicopsis romeroi. RNAcentral's name for it is "eukaryotic LSU rRNA". It matches the Rfam family "Eukaryotic large subunit ribosomal RNA", at positions 294 to 666 of the family's 3401-position model. Lineage: Eukaryota; Fungi; Ascomycota; Dothideomycetes; Pleosporales; Neohendersoniaceae. The record is from RNAcentral.
GGGAGGUAAAUUUCUUUCUAAAGCUAAAUACUGGCCAGAGACCGAUAGCGCACAAGUAGAGUGAUCGAAAGAUGAAAAGCACUUUGGAAAGAGAGUCAAAAAGCACGUGAAAUUGUUGAAAGGGAAGCGCUUGCAGCCAGACUUGCCUGCGGUUGCUCAUCCGGGCUCUCGCCCGGUGCACUCUUCCGUAGGCAGGCCAGCAUCAGUUUGGGCGGCUGGAUAAAGGCCUCUGUCAUGUACCUUCCCUCGGGAAGGCCUUAUAGGGGAGGCGUAAUGCAGCCAGCCUGGACUGAGGUCCGCGCAUUUGCUAGGAUGCUGGCGUAAUGGCUGUAAGCGGCCCGUCUUGAAACACGGAC